This 1342-nucleotide ribosomal RNA is filed under the name uncultured bacterium. RNAcentral's name for it is "16S ribosomal RNA". It matches the Rfam family "Bacterial small subunit ribosomal RNA", at positions 28 to 1378 of the family's 1533-position model. The record is from RNAcentral.
GACGAACGCUGGCGGCGUGCUUAACACAUGCAAGUCGAACGGAAAGGCCCUGCUUUUGUGGGGUGCUCGAGUGGCGAACGGGUGAGUAACACGUGAGUAACCUGCCCUUGACUUUGGGAUAACUUCAGGAAACUGGGGCUAAUACCGGAUAGGAGCUCCUGCUGCAUGGUGGGGGUUGGAAAGUUUCGGCGGUUGGGGAUGGACUCGCGGCUUAUCAGCUUGUUGGUGGGGUAGUGGCUUACCAAGGCUUUGACGGGUAGCCGGCCUGAGAGGGUGACCGGCCACAUUGGGACUGAGAUACGGCCAGACUCCUACGGGAGGCAGCAGUGGGGAAUAUUGCACAAUGGGCGGAAGCCUGAUGCAGCAACGCCGCGUGCGGGAUGACGGCCUUCGGGUUGUAAACCGCUUUCGCCUGUGACGAGGCGUGAGUGACGGUAAUGGGUAAAGAAGCACCGGCUAACUACGUGCCAGCAGCCGCGGUGAUACGUAGGGUGCGAGCGUUGUCCGGAUUUAUUGGGCGUAAAGGGCUCGUAGGUGGUUGAUCGCGUCGGAAGUGUAAUCUUGGGGCUUAACCCUGAGCGUGCUUUCGAUACGGGUUGACUUGAGGAAGGUAGGGGAGAAUGGAAUUCCUGGUGGAGCGGUGGAAUGCGCAGAUAUCAGGAGGAACACCAGUGGCGAAGGCGGUUCUCUGGGCCUUUCCUGACGCUGAGGAGCGAAAGCGUGGGGAGCGAACAGGCUUAGAUACCCUGGUAGUCCACGCUGUAAACGGUGGGUACUAGGUGUGGGGUCCAUUCCACGGGUUCCGUGCCGUAGCUAACGCUUUAAGUACCCCGCCUGGGGAGUACGGCCGCAAGGCUAAAACUCAAAGGAAUUGACGGGGCCCCGCACAAGCGGCGGAGCAUGCGGAUUAAUUCGAUGCAACGCGUAGAACCUUACCUGGGUUUGACAUGGAUCGGGAGUGCUCAGAGAUGGGUGUGCCUCUUUUGGGGUCGGUUCACAGGUGGUGCAUGGCUGUCGUCAGCUCGUGUCGUGAGAUGUUGGGUUAAGUCCCGCAACGAGCGCAACCCUUGUUCACUGUUGCCAGCACGUUAUGGUGGGGACUCAGUGGAGACCGCCGGGGUCAACUCGGAGGAAGGUGGGGAUGACGUCAAGUCAUCAUGCCCCUUAUGUCCAGGGCUUCACGCAUGCUACAAUGGCUGGUACAGAGAGUGGCGAGCCUGUGAGGGUGAGCGAAUCUCGGAAAGCCGGUCUCAGUUCGGAUUGGGGUCUGCAACUCGACCUCAUGAAGUCGGAGUCGCUAGUAAUCGCAGAUCAGCAACGCUGCGGUGAAUACGUUCCCGGG